RNAcentral lists this ribosomal RNA (424 nucleotides) under Fusobacteriota bacterium. RNAcentral's name for it is "Fusobacteria bacterium partial 16S ribosomal RNA". It matches the Rfam family "Bacterial small subunit ribosomal RNA", at positions 355 to 776 of the family's 1533-position model. The record is from RNAcentral. Lineage: Bacteria; Fusobacteriati; Fusobacteriota.
UGAGGAAUAUUGGUCAAUGGGCGAGAGCCUGAACCAGCCAAGUAGCGUGCAGGAUGACGGCCCUAUGGGUUGUAAACUGCUUUUAUGUGGGGAUAAAGUGCGUGACGUGUCAUGCAUUGCAGGUACCACAUGAAUAAGGACCGGCUAAUUCCGUGCCAGCAGCCGCGGUAAUACGGAAGGUCCGGGCGUUAUCCGGAUUUAUUGGGUUUAAAGGGAGCGUUGGCUGUCUAUUAAGCGUGUUGUGAAAUUUACCGGCUCAACCGGUGGCUUGCAGCGCGAACUGGUCGACUUGAGUAUGCAGGAAGUAGGCGGAAUUCAUGGUGUAGCGGUGAAAUGCUUAGAUAUCAUGACGAACUCCGAUUGCGCAGGCAGCUUACUGUAGCAUAACUGACGCUGAUGCUCGAAAGUGCGGGUAUCAAACAGG